This 504-nucleotide ribosomal RNA is filed under the name uncultured bacterium. RNAcentral's name for it is "bacterial SSU rRNA". It matches the Rfam family "Bacterial small subunit ribosomal RNA", at positions 8 to 507 of the family's 1533-position model. The record is from RNAcentral.
AGAGUUUGAUCAUGGCUCAGAUUGAACGCUGGCGGAAUGCUUUACACAUGCAAGUCGAACGGCAGGCACGGGGCAACCUGGUGGCGAGUGGCGAACGGGUGAGUAAUACAUCGGAACGUGCCCAAUCGUGGGGGAUAACGUAGCGAAAGUUACGCUAAUACCGCAUACGAUCUACGGAUGAAAGCGGGGGAUCGCAAGACCUCGCGCGAAUGGAGCGGCCGAUGUCAGAUUAGGUAGUUGGUGGGGUAAAGGCUCACCAAGCCAACGAUCUGUAGCUGGUCUGAGAGGACGACCAGCCACACUGGAACUGAGACACGGUCCAGACUCCUACGGGAGGCAGCAGUGGGGAAUUUUUGGACAAUGGGCGCAAGCCUGAUCCAGCCAUUCCGCGUGCAGGAUGAAGGCCUUCGGGUUGUAAACUGCUUUUGUACGGAACGAAACGGUCUGCCCUAAUACGGUGGGCUAAUGACGGUACCGUAAGAAUAAGCACCGGCUAACUACGUG